GAUGAACGCUGUCUACAGGCUUAACACAUGCAAGUCGAGGGGAAACGCCGGGGAAGCUUGCUUCCCCGGGCGUCGACCGGCGCACGGGUGAGUAACGCGUAUCCAACCUGCCUCUGACUGAGGGAUAACCCGUCGAAAGUCGGCCUAAUACCUCAUGGCAUCGUCUGCGGGCAUCCAACGACGAUUAAAGAUUUCAUCGGUCAGGGAUGGGGAUGCGUCUGAUUAGCUUGUUGGCGGGGUAACGGCCCACCAAGGCUACGAUCAGUAGGGGUUCUGAGAGGAAGGUCCCCCACAUUGGAACUGAGACACGGUCCAAACUCCUACGGGAGGCAGCAGUGAGGAAUAUUGGUCAAUGGGCGGGAGCCUGAACCAGCCAAGUAGCGUGCAGGAGGACGGCCCUAUGGGUUGUAAACUGCUUUUAUGCGGGGAUAAAGUGAGGGACGUGUCCUUCAUUGCAGGUACCGAAUGAAUAAGGACCGGCUAAUUCCGUG
RNAcentral lists this ribosomal RNA (491 nucleotides) under uncultured bacterium. RNAcentral describes it as "partial 16S ribosomal RNA". It matches the Rfam family "Bacterial small subunit ribosomal RNA", at positions 28 to 507 of the family's 1533-position model. The record is from RNAcentral.